CGAGUUUUCCCGUAUGUACAUGUAAAACAAGGAGGUUGUGAUUGAACUUGUUCCGAGAACAUUGGCUGCAACUCCGGCUUUGCAGAUGUUGGGGUGUUUUGAGAAGCAAGCGUAGGAGAGAGUCAAGUUCCAAUGAGAACUGUAGUCAUGGCGACUCUGACAGUGAUGAGGAACAAGAGCAGUGGAUGGACACAACAGCAGGUGUUGAAGGCAGAUGACAGCCUGGUUGGUCCCCUGCCUGUUGGCUCACCUUUUGGCAUCACUGCCCUGAUAGAGUGAAGUGAUAGCAGUGUGGUUGGUUCCCUGCCGUUGGGCUCAUUUUCUGACAUCACUGGCCUGAUAGAGUGAGGUGAUAGCAGCAUGGUUGGUCCUUUGCCUUUGAGCUCAUCUCCCUGGCAUCACUGUCCUGAUAGAGUAUGGCGAGAGCAGCAUGGUUGGUCCUUGGCUUGUAGGCUCAUCUUCUGACAUCACUGUCCUGAUAGAGUAAGGCAAGAGCAGCAUGGGUGGUCCUUGGCUUGUGGGCUCAUCUUCUGGCAUCACUGCCCUGAUAGAGUAAGGUGAUAACAGUGUGGUUGGUUCCCUGCCUUUGGGCUCAUUUUCUGACAUCACUGGCCUGAUAGAGUAAGGCGAGAGCAGCAUGGGUGGUCCUUGGCUUGUGGGCUCAUCUUCUGACAUCACUGCCCUGAUAGAGUAAGGUGAUAGCAGUGUGGUUGGUUCCCUGCCUUUGGGCUCAUUUUCUGACAUCACUGUCCUGAUAGAGUAAGGCAGUAGCAUUGUGUUUU
Long non-coding RNA from Acanthaster planci (crown-of-thorns starfish), 782 nucleotides. The record is from RefSeq and is a predicted model, not a curated record. NCBI's taxonomy places the organism in Eukaryota, Metazoa, Echinodermata, Asteroidea, Valvatida, Acanthasteridae.